RNAcentral lists this ribosomal RNA (439 nucleotides) under uncultured bacterium. Its description in RNAcentral is "partial 16S ribosomal RNA". It matches the Rfam family "Bacterial small subunit ribosomal RNA", at positions 339 to 795 of the family's 1533-position model. The record is from RNAcentral.
CUACGGGGUGCACCAGUGGGGAAUAUUGCACAAUGGAGGAAACUCUGAUGCAGCAACGCCGCGUGGAGGAUGACACUUUUCGGAGCGUAAACUCCUUUUAUAUAGGAAGAAGAUGACGGUACUAUAUGAAUAAGCGCCGGCUAACUCCGUGCCAGCAGCCGCGGUAAUACGGAGGGCGCAAGCGUUACUCGGAAUCACUGGGCGUAAAGAGCGUGUAGGCGGAUUAAAAAGUCAGAAGUGAAAUCCUAUAGCUUAACUAUAGAACUGCUUCUGAAACUCUUAAUCUAGAAUAUGGGAGAGGUAAAUGGAAUUUCUGGUGUAGGGGUAAAAUCCGUAGAGAUCAGAAGGAAUACCGAUUGCGAAGGCGAUCUACUAGAACAUUAUUGACGCUGAGACGCGAAAGCGUGGGGAGCAAACAGGAUUAGAUACCCGGGUAGUC